RNAcentral lists this long non-coding RNA (208 nucleotides) under Lathyrus oleraceus (garden pea). Its description in RNAcentral is "Pisum sativum (pea) long non-coding RNA (PSAT_LNC031454)". Lineage: Eukaryota; Viridiplantae; Streptophyta; Magnoliopsida; Fabales; Fabaceae. The record is from RNAcentral.
AUUAGCUUUGCAAAUGUCUAAAAAAGUAAUUAAUAAUUAACUAAUACAAAGAAACUCUAUCAUCCAACUAUUUGUGUAUAUCAUGAGUUGCCACAUCAUCAACUUUAUUUUUAAAUUCAAAUUUUUUCCACCUUUCAAUUAUUUCAAAUUUUACUAUAUUAUACUCAAAUUUCAACUUCUCUGAUCUUCUUCUAAACUUUUCCAAAAU